This 601-nucleotide small RNA is filed under the name Mycena sp. 7061018. RNAcentral's name for it is "eukaryotic LSU rRNA". It matches the Rfam family "Eukaryotic large subunit ribosomal RNA", at positions 72 to 652 of the family's 3401-position model. Lineage: Eukaryota; Fungi; Basidiomycota; Agaricomycetes; Agaricales; Mycenaceae. The record is from RNAcentral.
GGAUUCCCCUAGUAACUGCGAGUGAACCGGGAAAAGCUCAAAUUUAAAAUCUGGCGGUCCCUGUGGCCGUCCGAGUUGUAAUUUAGAGAAGCGUUAUCCACGCUGGCCCGUGUACAAGUCUCCUGGAAGGGAGCAUCAUAGAGGGUGAGAAUCCCGUCUUUGACACGGACUACCAGGGUUUUGUGAUACGCUCUCAACGAGUCGAGUUGUUUGGGAAUGCAGCUCAAAGUGGGUGGUAAAUUCCAUCUAAAGCUAAAUAUUGGGGAGAGACCGAUAGCGCACAAGUACCGUGAGGGAAAGAUGAAAAGAACUUUGGAAAGAGAGUUAAACAGUACGUGAAAUUGCUGAAAGGGAAACGCUUGAAGUCAGUCGUCCUGGGCGGAAAUCAGCCUUGCUUUGCUCGGUUUACUUUCUGUUCGGGGGGUCAACGUCAUUUUCGGCCGGCGGACAAAGGCUUGGAGAAUGUGGCACCUUCGGGUGUGUUAUAGCUCCUUGUCGGUAUACGUUGGUUGGGAUUGAGGACCGCGGCGCGCCUUUAUGGCCGGGCACUUGUGUCACGUACGCGCUAAGGAUGUUGGCAUAAUGGCUUUAAUCGACCCGU